RNAcentral lists this ribosomal RNA (253 nucleotides) under uncultured bacterium. RNAcentral describes it as "partial 16S ribosomal RNA". It matches the Rfam family "Bacterial small subunit ribosomal RNA", at positions 524 to 776 of the family's 1533-position model. The record is from RNAcentral.
UACGUAGGGGGCGAGCGUUGUCCGGAUUUAUUGGGCGUAAAGAGCGUGUAGGCGGUUUGUUGCGUCGGCCGUGAAAACCUGCAGCUUAACUGUGGGCCUGCGGUCGAUACGGGCAGACUUGAGUUCGGUAGGGGAGACUGGAAUUCCUGGUGUAGCGGUGAAAUGCGCAGAUAUCAGGAGGAACACCGGUGGCGAAGGCGGGUCUCUGGGCCGAUACUGACGCUGAGGAGCGAAAGCGUGGGGAGCGAACAGG